GGCCCCGUGGUGAGAUCACAUUAGAUUGCAAAUCUAAAGACGUAGAUUAAUUUUCUGCCGGGGCUU
RNAcentral lists this transfer RNA (66 nucleotides) under Microrasbora rubescens. RNAcentral's name for it is "tRNA-Cys". It matches the Rfam family "tRNA". From Rfam's summary of the family: Transfer RNA (tRNA) molecules are approximately 80 nucleotides in length. Their secondary structure includes four short double-helical elements and three loops (D, anti-codon, and T loops). Further hydrogen bonds mediate the characteristic L-shaped molecular structure. tRNAs have two regions of fundamental functional importance: the anti-codon, which is responsible for specific mRNA codon recognition, and the 3' end, to which the tRNAs corresponding amino acid is attached (by aminoacyl-tRNA synthetases). tRNAs cope with the degeneracy of the genetic code in two manners: having more than one tRNA (with a specific anti-codon) for a particular amino acid; and 'wobble' base-pairing, i.e. permitting non-standard base-pairing at the 3rd anti-codon position. Lineage: Eukaryota; Metazoa; Chordata; Actinopteri; Cypriniformes; Danionidae. The record is from RNAcentral.